RNAcentral lists this ribosomal RNA (536 nucleotides) under fungal sp. WEF3. RNAcentral's name for it is "eukaryotic LSU rRNA". The stretch from base 162 to 315 matches the Rfam family "5.8S ribosomal RNA". The record is from RNAcentral. Lineage: Eukaryota; Fungi.
CAGGGGGGGACAUUACGAGUUUACACUCCCAAACCCCUGUGAACAUACCAAUUGUUGCCUCGGCGGAUCAGCCCGCUCCCGGUAAAACGGGACGGCCCGCCAGAGGACCCCUAAACUCUGUUUCUAUAUGUAACUUCUGAGUAAAACCAUAAAUAAAUCAAAACUUUCAACAACGGAUCUCUUGGUUCUGGCAUCGAUGAAGAACGCAGCAAAAUGCGAUAAGUAAUGUGAAUUGCAGAAUUCAGUGAAUCAUCGAAUCUUUGAACGCACAUUGCGCCCGCCAGUAUUCUGGCGGGCAUGCCUGUUCGAGCGUCAUUUCAACCCUCAAGCCCCCGGGUUUGGUGUUGGGGAUCGGCGAGCCCUUGCGGCAAGCCGGCCCCGAAAUCUAGUGGCGGUCUCGCUGCAGCUUCCAUUGCGUAGUAGUAAAACCCUCGCAACUGGUACGCGGCGCGGCCAAGCCGUUAAACCCCCAACUUCUGAAUGUUGACCUCGGAUCAGGUAGGAAUACCCGCUGAACUUAAGCAUAUCAAUAAGCG